ACAGUUACACCAACUCCCUUCUGGGAGACACUGCAGUGAAGAUAUGGCAGAAAUAAUGCAUUUUGCCCAGCUUUAGUCAAACUUAUGAUUAAUGCAAUCACAAUUCAAUUCCAAUCUUUUUCAGCAUGCACAAAUCGAAGUUGCUACUCUUAACGUUAAACUGAAGCUUGAUAAUUUUGUUUGCAUCUAAAAUUAUUCCAACUCCCAAACUAUUUCUGUAUUUCACUGGCCUAUCGUGUCAAGGAAGAACACCAAUAAAAAAUAUAACAUCUAACAAAUCCCCGUGCCUUAAAAUAAAAUAACUUACAUCAUCAUUUAGAGCAGGAUUCUCUUUAUUAUCUUUGUGAUACGUGUCCCCAAGUCCUUCACUGAAAAUCUCGAUGCCUGGUGC
Molecule: long non-coding RNA, 391 nt
Filed under: Daucus carota (carrot)
Lineage: Eukaryota; Viridiplantae; Streptophyta; Magnoliopsida; Apiales; Apiaceae
Description: long non-coding RNA (DCAR_LNC002550)
Source: RNAcentral